RNAcentral lists this ribosomal RNA (490 nucleotides) under uncultured bacterium. RNAcentral's name for it is "partial 16S ribosomal RNA". It matches the Rfam family "Bacterial small subunit ribosomal RNA", at positions 30 to 507 of the family's 1533-position model. The record is from RNAcentral.
AUUGAACGCUGGCGGCAGGCCUAACACAUGCCAGUCGAACGGUAACAGGAAGCAGCUUGCUGCUUCGCUGACGAGUGGCGGACGGGUGAGUAAUGUCUGGGAAGCUACCUGAUGGAGGGGGAUAACUACUGGAAACGGUAGCUAAUACCGCAUAAUGUCGCAAGACCAAAGAGGGGGACCUUCGGGCCUCUUGCCAUCGGAUGUGCCCAGAUGGGAUUAGCUUGUUGGUGGGGUAACGGCUCACCAAGGCGACGAUCCCUAGCUGGUCUGAGAGGAUGACCAGCCACACUGGAACUGAGACACGGUCCAGAGUACUAAGGGAGGCAGCAGUGGGGAAUAUUGGACAAUGGGCGCAAGCCUGAUGCAGCCAUGCCGCGUGUAUGAAGAAGACCUUCGGGUUGUAAAGUACUUUCAGCGGGGAGGAAGGGAGUAAAGUUAAUACCUUUGCUCAUUGACGUUACCCGCAGAAGAAGCACCGGCUAACUCCGUG